CACACACAUUACUUUAGUCUAAAGAAGCUGGCAAAAUUGCACUGUAGAAAUGAACAGUGUUUUGCACCACAUUUCAGUUUAUUUACAAGAUUGCCACUGCCUCUUCAGUUUCAGAUUGAAAAUUUCAAUUUAUUUACGAAAUUGCCACCCUUCAGCGUGUACGUGUCGACCAUCGUAGAAAGGGUGGGGGAUGGAAGCAAACCCGAUGUUGUUCCAGAGAUCUCUUCGACGACAAGCCCAUUUUGCUCCAGAGCUCUUCAACGACAAAGUCAAUUCAGCGCCUCACCGUCGCACACCUCGCCUUCCCCUCGCCUUCGCACACCUCGCCUUACCUCGCCGCCGCACUCCUUACCAGAACUCGAAUCAAUGGGAGAGAGGCGUGGGAUGGCAGGGAGGGGAAGGGAGAGGGAGGAGUGAGGCUGCCAAAAAGGGGGUUAGGGUUGAUUUUUUAUCCCCAAAUCAAUUGUUGUUGUCGGUGAUUGAACGAGCAUUGGUUAGAGGGGAACUUUCAUUUCCUUUGUUUCUGAACCAGAAUGGGGUCGAUGGGACCAUGCUCUGUUGCACGUUCAGAUGAGUGAUUUGAGGGAUUUGAUUUCAGGGAUUGGUAAUCCCAUCCCGUGUUUUCCCCUCAUCUCUGUCACACUCAACCUCUCUCUAAUCCUUUAUGUUUCUCUCUCUUUUAGACUCUUCCUUUCUCUCAAUUGUCCAUCGCUCUCAACUUUAGUGCUAACCCUAAUUUGUUCUUUCAUUCCUUAAUUUUCUCCAUCCGAGCAAUGAAAAAUCGAACUGGGUUUUCAGAUUAUUGAUGCUUCACGGACAGAGAAUGGAGAGAGUUGAUUAAGGGAGUUGGUGAGUAUGGGCUUGCACAGAGGGAAAAACGCAGAAAGAGAGAGAGAGAGAGAGGGAGAGGGAGGGAACGAUUGCACAGAGACAAGGAGAGAGACAGAGAGAGAUCGCAGAAAGAGGAGGAUGACAAAAAUUGAGGAGGAACCCGUGUCUGCAGAGAAUGAGACAAAAAACUACCAAGGAAGGAGGAGACUGCCAGGAAUGUAAAACCCAGGCAGGAGAAGACAAGCAAUGGCGGAGGAACCAAGGCUGUAGAUCUUUGAUAAAAGGGAUUUGCAUAUUGCUAAAAGAGAGGAAGACAUUGGCUAUUGUGCUGGAUAUGUAGCUGAGUUGAUGAUUGUCGCUACUUACCUUUUGUAUUCUUCACCGUUUUGUUCCUUAACAAGUGUCUUUCUUUGAAGGGGCUUCAUAGAUGCUUGGCAGAGUCCUGACAUCAAUUUUUUAGGGAAUGGUGGCUGAUAUUGACUCAGAUGAAGCCCCUAUUUAUAUAUCCUGAUCAUUUUUAUGAUCUAUCUUUUCUGACUUGGAUGAUAUUGAUCAAAUGAAUGAGUUAGAAACUGAAAGUUACAUUUGUUCCAUCAAUAUGUUGAUCAAAUGGAUGAGUUAGAAGCUGAAAAUUACAUUUGUUUCUUGCUACUUUUUAUACUGAACAGAUUUUGUGUAUGUAUAGUGCUUUAUUUUCAAGGUUAUUUCUCUCAACACCAUGUGAAUGUACAAAUAGUUCUUUCCCAAUUCAACCAAUUUAAAAAUUGGGAUUUUAACUGAUGUUCGUCCAUGGUUCCUUACUUUCCAGAUAUUGAAACAUGCAUAAAUUCACCUGGAAAUUAUUCAUGUCAAUGUCCCAAAGGAUACAAACAUGAAGGCAUGGAUGAAAAGAGUUGUAUCAAAGACAACAAAUGAUCCAGCAAAAGCAUACACAUCAAACCCCUCAUUCACACAACAGCCACCAAAGAGACCAUUACUGAGCUCAACCACCUGCAAGUUUUUGAGAAACAAAGAGCCUCAUCCACAGGAAUCUGUAAUUCAUAGCAGCAGGGCUGGAUGAAAAGAAACACCAGUCAGAGCUUUCAACAACUCGAAGGGAGUACAUACUUUGUAUGCCAUGGAUAGGGAAUGGAUACGUAAUUGGAUCAAUUGAUGGGUGCCGCUGUUUUGGAUAUCUACAUCCAGCAAUACCUGCUCAACCACCUGCAAGUUUUUGAGAAACAAAGAGCCUCAUCCACAGGAAUCUAUAAUUCAUAGCAGCAGGAACCCUGAUUCUGGGAGGAAGAAUACACUGCAUUGCCAUCUUUAGGUAUAUGUGAAUGGCUCACAGAGUUUUUCUGAAUCUGUAGAUCCAGUGGGCCCUCAUGACACUGUUAUAUCCAAACCAAAGUUUGGCGAAUUUGAUAUAUGUUGGAUACAAUGGCAGUUCUGCUUCAGCUAUCCAUGUUACUAGAAGAUCAGAAGAUCAUAAAAGGCAAAAAACAGAAAGAAAUGUUAGCUGCUUCGUUUUUUGUCCUAAAAAUGCAGAAAAAUCCCCUCUUUUAAAUUCAUUCAUAGGAAGGCCUUUCUUAAAGAGCGAGACUAUACCUACUGGUGAGCGUUAUGCAGUGAAUGUCAUUAACCAGAUUGGGGACUUCAUUAAUCGUUUAGAAGCGCAGCCAACGAUGUGAGAGCAGAAGGGGAGCAAGCAUGUGAGUGCGGAAGACUUAGCUGCUUAAACAAGAACGACUGCUGCAGGGCGUUCUACAUGUUUUUGGCUUUCAACAUUUUUGCUUCGAGACUUUGCUGCUUGAACAAGAACGAAACACCAUCUUAACUGCAAGGCAAAAUACGUGUGGACUGAAUGUUACUUCCGUUUCUUACUGAAACAGGCGUCUUGCAUGUUUUUUGCUUUGCACGUUUGUGCUUGAAAACUUUGAUGCUAGAAUAAGAACGAAACAGUUUUUAUGUUGCCUAACCUAUAGGAUAUAUAUUUUGCCACAUUGACUACAGGGGCAAGAUUUGUGUGAACUGUAUGUUACUUCUGUUUAUUAGGGAACCAAAACGUUCAGUUUCGUCCUGUUCAUUAUACAAUGUCUUUUCAUGUCAACUCAGUUGAAUGUAUAUAAAAACGAAGCUGCAUAUCGUACUGACCUCA
Long non-coding RNA from Pyrus x bretschneideri (Chinese white pear), 2968 nucleotides. RefSeq lists it as uncharacterized. The record is from RefSeq and is a predicted model, not a curated record. Lineage: Eukaryota; Viridiplantae; Streptophyta; Magnoliopsida; Rosales; Rosaceae. The transcript has 14 exons.